RNAcentral lists this ribosomal RNA (459 nucleotides) under uncultured bacterium. RNAcentral's name for it is "partial 16S ribosomal RNA". It matches the Rfam family "Bacterial small subunit ribosomal RNA", at positions 339 to 795 of the family's 1533-position model. The record is from RNAcentral.
CUACGGGAGGCUGCAGUGAGGAAUAUUGCGCAAUGGACGAAAGUCUGACGCAGCCAUGCCGCGUGCAGGAUGACGGCGCUAUGCGUUGUAAACUGCUUUUAUAUGCCAAGAAACCUUCGGACGUGUCCGAAGCUGACGGUAGCAUAUGAAUAAGCACCGGCUAACUCCGUGCCAGCAGCCGCGGUAAUACGGAGGGUGCAAGCGUUAUCCGGAUUUAUUGGGUUUAAAGGGUCCGUAGGCGGAUCAUUAAGUCAGUGGUGAAAGCCGGCAGCUCAACUGGCGAACUGCCAUUGAUACUGGUGAUCUUGAAUACGGUUGAAGUUGACGGAAUAGGUCAUGUAGCGGUGAAAUGCUUAGAUAUGACCUAGAACACCGAUUGCGAAGGCAGCCAACUAAGCCGUUAUUGACGCUGAGGGACGAAAGCGUGGGGAGCGAAUAGGAUUAGAUACCCUUGUAGUC